This is a transfer RNA of 101 nucleotides. It matches the Rfam family "tRNA". From Rfam's summary of the family: Transfer RNA (tRNA) molecules are approximately 80 nucleotides in length. Their secondary structure includes four short double-helical elements and three loops (D, anti-codon, and T loops). The record is from Rfam.
GCCCGGCUAGCUCAAUCGGUAGAGCGUGAGACUCUUACGCGGCUCUUUCGGGCCUCAAUAAGAUCAUCUCAAGGCUGUGGGUUCGACCCCCACGUCGGGCU